RNAcentral lists this unclassified non-coding RNA (300 nucleotides) under uncultured fungus. RNAcentral's name for it is "sequence contains ITS1". The stretch from base 1 to 102 matches the Rfam family "5.8S ribosomal RNA", at positions 50 to 154 of the family's 154-position model. The record is from RNAcentral. Lineage: Eukaryota; Fungi.
GAAAUGCGAUAAAUCAUGUGAAUUGCAGAAUCGUGAAUCAUCGAGUAUUUGAACGCACAUUGCGCUCGGCAGUUAAUCUCCGAGUACGCCUGUUUGAGGUCGGGUAACGACUAUUGAGGGCCGCGGCCCGAGUUGAGCCGUCCGCGAGAGCGGUCGCUCGAAAGGGAGGGAGCGAGUGCGGGAGAGAGAGAGAAUUAUGAUGUCAAACACAUCUUCUCGACGGUCUCCCGCGCGUGCUCGCACUAUUCGGGUGUUGCAGAAAACGACCUCAAAUCAGGCGGGGCUACCCGCUGAACUUAA